UUUAACUUUGGUUCUGUUCUUUAAAUUCAAUAGCUUCCUUGCUUUUUAAUGUCCAUCUAUUCCACGCACAUACACGGUUUCUCAAUUUCAAAGGCACCAAGACUCCUUUUUUUUUUUUUUUUACUAUAAAUAUUCUGCAAAAGACAAAUUGUUGACACAUAUUUUAAAAGUAGAAAACCAUUCUCCAUCUUUAAUUACGUUCAAGGAAGCCGAGAAGUUUGCGAAUUGAAAUAUUCUGUUGGAUUAUUCUUUCAAAAAUUUGUUGAUCUGACGAGGUAGGAUAUUAUGUGCAAGUUCUUCCGUCCUUUCAAUAUUAUAAUUUUUGACGUGAUUUAUUUCAUGAAAUGCUAAUUGAGAAAUGAAAUGUGAGAUCUCCUUCGGGUCUUCUCAAAUAUGCUAGAGUAUUCGAUUGAUCACCAAUUGCUCUUGAUGAAAUGACGGUAUGGAAUGUUGUAAAUUCAUGUUUUAAAAGUUAUUAUAUUGUUUGGACGCACGUAUCCGACUGAGUAUAAAUUACUCAUUCCUUCAAUUUUAAAAUUUCAGGUUAGAUCGGUCGACGUGGAUGGUGGCUGAGCGAUGCGCAGGUUGCCAAGUAAAGAAAUUUUCAAGAAAACAUUUAAAAUAAUUCUUCUAGGACAUUUUGUGUUUCCAUCGAUUUCCAUUUAACAUUUCAUAUUACUUGACGAUAUACGCCUCAAAUUUUAUCGAUUUAAACUUGAGGUGUUACCGAUAUCAUUUCAUAAACAUACAUCAAGUGGAAAUAUAAAUUGGAACUUUAAAACUCCUAAUUUAUUUAAUACUCAAAGGCUAAAUCAAAUAAAUGUAUCGUCAGGCAAUAUGAAACGUUAAAUGGAAAUCAAUGGAAACACAAAAUGUCCUAGUAGAAUUAUUUUUAAAUGUUUUCUUGAAAAUUCUUUACUUGGCAACCCGCGCACCGCUCAGCCACCAUCCACGUCGACCGAUCCAACCUGAAAUGUUAAAAUUGAAGGAAUGAGUAAUUUAUACUCUAUAGGAUACGUGCAUCCAAACAAUAUAAUAAGUUUUAAAACAUGAAUUUACAACAUUCCAUACCAUCAUUUCAUCAAGAGCAAUCGGUGAUCAAUCGAAUACUCUAAAAUAUUUGAGAAGACCUGAAGGAGAUCUCACAUUUCAUUUCACUUCAUAGAGACCCGCAGGUCAAUUAGCAUUUCAUGAAAUAAAUCACAUCAAAAAUUAUAAUAUUGAAAUGACGAUACAACUUAUACAUAGUAUCCUACCUUAUCAAAUAAAUGUUGAAAGAAAUCCAAGAGUCACGUUCCAAUUGUUUUCUUUUAUUUCCUGCUUACGAAUUGUUGUCUUGUAUGGGUACGUAAUAGAUGAAAAUAAAGAGGCAAGAGAAUUAUAGUUUUGGUAGAAUAUGAAUAUAAUAGGGGAUUUCUGUUGAACUUAAAGAAUGAAAUCAAAAUAAAGGAAAUGGG
Molecule: long non-coding RNA, 1457 nt
Filed under: Olea europaea subsp. europaea
Lineage: Eukaryota; Viridiplantae; Streptophyta; Magnoliopsida; Lamiales; Oleaceae
Source: RNAcentral